GUGUGUGUGUGCGUGUUCCUUAACGCUCCAUCGUCGGGGCACGGGUUUGGGAAUCGUGGACGUCGCGCCUUCGUGGUUUAGAAGCGCCGAGAGGAGCCCGUGUCUAAUAUUAAAUCGUUUCUAUUUUUGGCGGGGGGGGGGGGGUUAAAACAAAAGGUACAAAUAAAGCCGUCCCGGCAAGCGACAGGGAAGAGAGUGGCUGUGUCAUGCGAUCAGCCCUUCAACCUUCCACACACACAGCCCGCCCACAAGGGGCCCAAUCAAGCCCCACUGACAGGCCAAAUUACAUUAGACUCCUUGUAGCUAGCGCAAAUUACGCUGGCUGGGACGCUCCUCGGAGAGUGAUUAGGGAGCGGGAGAAGAGCAUGAGUGCAGGCGGUUCUUCUAAUUAUCACCGGAUUGGCGAGGGAUAAAGAGAGAGGGACUAAGUCGUAGGCAGAGGGAACGCGUGAAGGCCUCAAGCCUGGACUCGGCUUGGAGUGGGAAGUCUUCGGGGCAACGCGCCACCCGCGCCUGCGAUUUUAAGGUUGUUUCUUUUAUUUUGUGUGCAAGCGUCAACUCCCGGAGUGAUGCGACGUUAUGUUGUGUUCAAAACACGUUCGAAAAAUCUUGAGUCAAGGGCGUUUGUGGAA
Petromyzon marinus (sea lamprey) is the source of this 632-nucleotide non-coding RNA. NCBI's taxonomy places the organism in Eukaryota, Metazoa, Chordata, Hyperoartia, Petromyzontiformes, Petromyzontidae. The record is from RefSeq and is a predicted model, not a curated record.